UACGAAGGGGGCGAGCGUUGUUCGGAUUUACUGGGCGUAAAGGGCGCGCAGGCGGCUCAUUUUGUCAGGCGUGAAAGCCCCGGGCUUAACCUGGGAACUGCGUUUGAUACGGAUGGGCUAGAGUUCGGGAGAGGAGAGUGGAAUUCCCAGUGUAGAGGUGAAAUUCGUAGAUAUUGGGAAGAACACCGGUGGCGAAGGCGGCUCUCUGGACCGAGACUGACGCUGAGGCGGCGAAAAGCGUGGGGAGCAAACAGG
RNAcentral lists this ribosomal RNA (255 nucleotides) under uncultured bacterium. RNAcentral's name for it is "partial 16S ribosomal RNA". It matches the Rfam family "Bacterial small subunit ribosomal RNA", at positions 524 to 776 of the family's 1533-position model. The record is from RNAcentral.